Transfer RNA from Rhodotorula sp. JG-1b, 117 nucleotides. It matches the Rfam family "tRNA". Rfam says of the family: Transfer RNA (tRNA) molecules are approximately 80 nucleotides in length. Their secondary structure includes four short double-helical elements and three loops (D, anti-codon, and T loops). The record is from Rfam. Lineage: Eukaryota; Fungi; Basidiomycota; Microbotryomycetes; Sporidiobolales; Sporidiobolaceae.
GUCUUCGUAGCUCAGUUGGUUAGAGCGUUCGACUGUUACCUGGUCCUGGUCGCUUCGGCUUCCAGACUCCCUCAGUCAUCCAUCGAGAGGUCGGCGGUUCGACCCCGCCCGAGGACG